UCCUGUGCAGUAUGACCGUGAUCAGUUC
This 28-nucleotide non-coding RNA is filed under the name Rattus norvegicus (Norway rat). The record is from RNAcentral. Lineage: Eukaryota; Metazoa; Chordata; Mammalia; Rodentia; Muridae.